This 1592-nucleotide long non-coding RNA is filed under the name Helianthus annuus (common sunflower). RNAcentral's name for it is "hypothetical non coding rna". Lineage: Eukaryota; Viridiplantae; Streptophyta; Magnoliopsida; Asterales; Asteraceae. The record is from RNAcentral.
ACUCUCUUUUAUUUUUUAACACACUAUCUUCUAUGUAACAGAUCACCACCACAGCCUUGCUACCACCGCCGCCUGUAACCAGCGGCCAUCGGAAUAACCACCAAAUCCGGCACCAUCUACAUCUUCUCUCUCUUUCUCUUAGGCCAACAAAUCCGUGAAGAAUGAAGGUGGUGGCGGUGCGGUGUUUCGACUGAGAAACCCUAGAUCCGUGUCGCCAUCUCAAAACACCACCAUCAUACCAUUAGGGUUUUACUAUCUACUAAACUCCGUUGGAUUAGAAGAAAGAAGAAAUGGAGACUUCGUUGAGAUAAGACAGAGAUUCGAGCGCCCUGAAAAUCAACAAGACGACGACGACCAACAACAAGAAGGGUCCUCGGACGGUGAGGUAUGCCAGCGAUGCUUCCGGCUCCACCCUCAAAAUCUAUGCUAAGCAGAAGUUCCAUAUCGAUUCCAACACUCGUCUUCAGCUGAAAAGAAGCAAAAUUAUAUGGAUUAUGAAGGACGUUGGUGGUGCUUCUUUAGCAACUAUCAAGAUUUAGAAGAAAGAUUUUAGGCUAUGGUUGUUUUGAAAUGUGAUUGACAAGCGGUGGUGCUUCGUUGUGUGAACAGGCAAGACUUUAUUUUAUUGAAUUGUGACAAGCAGAGCCAUUAAUUUUGUAUUAUGGAUAUUUUGAAAGAAUGUGUAUAGGCUGAAGUGAUUUGGGAUAAGCAUAUAUAUGAAUGUAACAAUUUGUUUAUAUGAAUAAAAGUUCGGAUCAUAAAGAAUAUUAAACAGAGUGAGUUUAUGCAGAAUUCGUGGCACUAUAGUUUCUGAUCCUUGUAAAUCCCUCCUUUUACUCUCUUUUAUUUUUUAACACACUAUCUUCUAUGUAACAGAUCACCACCACAGCCUUGCUACCACCGCCGCCUGUAACCAGCGGCCAUCGGAAUAACCACCAAAUCCGGCACCAUCUACAUCUUCUCUCUCUUUCUCUUAGGCCAACAAAUCCGUGAAGAAUGAAGGUGGUGGCGGUGCGGUGUUUCGACUGAGAAACCCUAGAUCCGUGUCGCCAUCUCAAAACACCACCAUCAUACCAUUAGGGUUUUACUAUCUACUAAACUCCGUUGGAUUAGAAGAAAGAAGAAAUGGAGACUUCGUUGAGAUAAGACAGAGAUUCGAGCGCCCUGAAAAUCAAUAAGACGACGAGCAACAACAAGAAGGGUCCUCGGACGGUAAGGUAUGCUAGCGAUGCUUCCGGCUCCACCCUCAAAAUCUAUGCUAAGCAGAAGUUCCAUAUCGAUUCCAACACUCGUCUUCAGCUGAAAAGAAGCAAAAUUAUAUGGAUUAUGAAGGACGUUGGUGGUGCUUCUUUAGCAACUAUCAAGAUUUAGAAGAAAGAUUUCAGGCAAUGGUUGUUCUGAAAUGUGAUUGACAAGAGGUGGUGCUUCGUUGUGUGAACAGGCAAGACUUUAUUUUAUUGAAUUGUGACAAGCAGAGCCAUUAAUUUUGUAUUAUGGUUAUUUUGAAAGAAUGUGUAUAGGCUGAAGUGAUUUGGGAUAAGCAUAUAUAUGAAUGUAACAAUUUGUUUAUAUGAAUAAAAGUUCGGAUCAUA